ACGCUGGCGGCGUGCCUAACACAUGCAAGUCGUGCGAGAAGUUCCUUCGGGAGCGAGUAAAGCGGCGCACGGGUGAGUAACACGUAGGUAACCUGCCCCCCAGUCUGGAACAACUAGAGGAAACUCUAGCUAAUGCCGGAUGAGACCACGAUCCCUUCGGGGGUUGCGGCCAAAGAUGGCCUCUACUUGUAAGCUAUCGCUGAGGGAUGGGCCUGCGGGCCAUUAGCUUGUUGGUGAGGUAACGGCUCACCAAGGCUGUGAUGGCUAGCUGGUCUGAGAGGAUGACCAGCCACACUGGGACUGAGACACGGCCCAGACUCCUACGGGAGGCAGCAGUGGGAAUAUUGCGCAAUGGGCGAAAGCCUGACGCAGCGACGCCGCGUGGGUGAUGAAGGCCUUCGGGUCGUAAAGCCCUGUCGCAGGGGAAGAAUAAGCAUCGGUAUAAUACGCCGGUGCCCUGACGGUACCCUGCAAGAAAGCACCGGCUAACUCCGUG
Molecule: ribosomal RNA, 496 nt
Filed under: uncultured bacterium
Lineage: Bacteria
Description: bacterial SSU rRNA
Rfam family: Bacterial small subunit ribosomal RNA
Source: RNAcentral